Anopheles funestus (African malaria mosquito) is the source of this 2031-nucleotide long non-coding RNA. RefSeq lists it as uncharacterized. Lineage: Eukaryota; Metazoa; Arthropoda; Insecta; Diptera; Culicidae. The transcript is spliced from 3 exons. The record is from RefSeq and is a predicted model, not a curated record.
UUGGCUAAAGUGUCUUGGCUAAUGUGUCUCGGCUAAGGUGUCUUGGCUAAUGUGUCUUGGCUAAGGUGUCUUGGCUAAGGUGUCUUGGCUAAGGUGUCUUGGCUAAUGUGUCUUGGCUAAAGUGUCUUGGCUAAAGUGUCUUGGCUAAGGUGUCUUGGCUAAUGUGUCUUGGCUAAUGUGUCUUGGCUAAUGUGUCUUGGCUAAGGUGUCUUGGCUAAUGUGUCUCGGCUAAGGUGUCUUGGCUAAGGUGUCUUGGCUAAGGUGUCUUGGCUAAGGUGUCUUGGCUAAUGUGUCUCGGCUAAGGUGUCUUGGCUAAGGUGUCUUGGCUAAUGUGUCUUGGCUAAAGUGUCUUGGCUAAGGUGUCUUGGCUAAGGUGUCUUGGCUAAGGUGUCUUGGCUAAGGUGUCUCGGCUAAUGUGUCUUGGCUGAGGUGUCUCGGCUAAUGUGUCUUGGCUAAUGUGUCUUGGCUAAGGUGUCUUGGCUAAGGUGUCUUGGCUAAAGUGUCUCGGCUAAUGUGUCUUGGCUUAUGUGUCUUGGCUAAUGUGUCUUGGCUUAGGUGUCUUGGCUAAUGUGUCUUGGCUAAUGUGUCUUGGCUAAUGUGUCUUGGCUAAUGUGUCUUGGCUAAUGUGUCUUGGCUAAUGUGUCUUGGCUAAUGUGUCUUGGCUAAUGUGUCUUGGCUAAGGUGUCUUGGCUAAGGUGUCUUGGCUAAGGUGUCUUGGCUAAUGUGUCUUGGCUAAUAAGUCUUGGCUAAGGUGUCUUGGCUAAGGUGUCUUGGCUAAGGUGUCUUGGCUAAUGUGUCUUGGCUAAUGUGUCUUGGCUAAGGUGUCUUGGCUAAGGUGUCUUGGCUAAGGUGUCUUGGCUAAUGUGUCUUGGCUAAGGUGUCUUGGCUAAUGUGUCUCGGCUAAUGUGUCUUGGCUAAUGUGUCUUGGCUAAAGUGUCUUGGCUAAAGUGUCUUGGCUAAGGUGUCUUGGCUAAGGUGUCUUGGCUAAUGUGUCUUGGCUAAGGUGUCUUGGCUAAGGUGUCUUGGCUAAUGUGUCUUGGCUAAGGUGUCUUGGCUAAUGUGUCUUGGCUAAGGUGUCUUGGCUAAUGUGUCUCGGCUAAUGUGUCUUGGCUAAGGUGUCUUGGCUAAUGCGUCUUGGCUAAUGUGUCUUGGCUAAAAUGUCUUGGCUAAGGUGUCUUGGCUAAGGUGUCUUGGCUAAGGUGUCUUGGCUAAGGUGUCUUGGCUAAGGUGUCUUGGCUUGGUUGUCUUGGCUAAUGUGUCUCGGCUAAGGUGUCUUGGCUAAUGUGUCUUGGCUAAGGUGUCUUGGCUAAUGUGUCUUGGCUAAGGUGUCUUGGCUAAGGUGUCUUGGCUAAGGUGUCUUGGCUAAUGUGUCUCGGCUAAGGUGUCUUGGCUACUGUGUCUUGGCUAAGGUGUCUUGGCUAAGGUGUCUUGGCUAAUGUGUCUUGGCUAAUGUGUCUUGGCUAAUUUGUCUUGGCUAAUGUGUCUUGGCUAAUGUGUCUUGGCUAAUGUGUCUUGGCUAAGGUGUCUUGGCUAAGGUGUCUUGGCUAAUGUGUCUUGGCUAAUGUGUCUUGGCUAAGGUGUCUUGGCUAAGGUGUCUUGGCUAAGGUGUCUUGGCUAAGGUGUCUUGGCUAAGGUGUCUUGGCUAAUGUGUCUCGGCUAAGGUGUCUUGGCUAAGGUGUCUUGGCUAAGGUGUCUUGGCUAAGGUGUCUUGGCUAAUGUGUCUUGGCUAAGGUGUCUUGGCUAAUGUGUCUCGGCUAAUGUGUCUUGGCUAAGGUGUCUUGGCUAAUGUGUCUUGGCUAAAGUGUCUUGGCUAAAGUGUCUUGGCUAAGGUGUCUUGGCUAAGGUGUCUUGGCUAAGGUGUCUUGGCUAAUGUGUCUCGGCUAAGGUGUCUUGGCUAAGGUGUCUUGGCUAAGGUGUCUUGGCUAAGGUGUCUUGGCUAAUGUGUCUCGGCUAAGGUGUCUUGGCUAAUGUGCCUCGGCUAAGGUGUCUUGGCUAAGGUGUCUUGGCUAAGGUGUCUUGGCUAAGGUGUCU